AAGUCAGAUGUGAAAUCCCCGGGCUUAACCUGGGAACUGCAUCUGAAACUGUUAGGCUAGAGUAGGUGAGAGGGAAGUGGAAUUUCAGGUGUAGCGGUGAAAUGCGUAGAGAUCUGAAGGAAUACCGAUGGCGAAGGCAGCUUCCUGGCAUCAUACUGACACUGAGGCUCGAAAGCGUGGGUAGCAAACAGGAUUAGAUACCCUGGUAGUCCACGCCGUAAACGAUGUCUACUAGUCGUUGGGUCCCUUGAGGACUUAGUGACGCAGCUAACGCAAUAAGUAGACCGCCUGGGGAGUACGGCCGCAAGGUUAAAACUCAAAUGAAUUGGC
Molecule: ribosomal RNA, 330 nt
Filed under: uncultured bacterium
Lineage: Bacteria
Description: bacterial SSU rRNA
Rfam family: Bacterial small subunit ribosomal RNA
Source: RNAcentral